Molecule: ribosomal RNA, 258 nt
Filed under: uncultured bacterium
Lineage: Bacteria
Description: partial small subunit ribosomal RNA
Rfam family: Bacterial small subunit ribosomal RNA
Source: RNAcentral
AGGACGAACGCUGGCGGCGUGCUUAACACAUGCAAGUCGAGCGGUGACCCUCCUUCGGGAGGUGAUCAGCGGCGAACGGGUGAGUAACACGUGGGCAACCUGCCCCUCACACUGGGAUAACCUCGGGAAAACCGGGGCUAAUACCGGAUACGACCUCGAGCGGCAUCUCUUGAGGUGGAAAGCUCCGACGGUGAGGGAUGGGCCCGCGGCCUAUCAGCUUGUUGGUGGGGUAAUGGCCUACCAAGGCGACGACGGGUA